Molecule: ribosomal RNA, 425 nt
Filed under: uncultured bacterium
Lineage: Bacteria
Description: partial 16S ribosomal RNA
Rfam family: Bacterial small subunit ribosomal RNA
Source: RNAcentral
GUGAGGAAUAUUGCGCAAUGGAGGCAACUCUGACGCAGCCAUGCCGCGUGAAUGAUGAAGGUCUUAGGAUUGUAAAAUUCUUUCACCGGGGACGAUAAUGACGGUACCCGGAGAAGAAGCUCCGGCUAACUUCGUGCCAGCAGCCGCGGUAAUACGAAGGGGGCUAGCGUUGCUCGGAAUUACUGGGCGUAAAGGGCGCGUAGGCGGACAGCUUAGUCAGAGGUGAAAGCCCAGGGCUCAACCUUGGAAUUGCCUUUGAUACUGGCUGUCUUGAGUUUGGGAGAGGUGAGUGGAACUCCGAGUGUAGAGGUGAAAUUCGUAGAUAUUCGGAAGAACACCAGUGGCGAAGGCGACUCACUGGCCCAAUACUGACGCUGAGGCGCGAAAGCGUGGGGAGCAAACAGGAUUAGAAACCCGGGUAGUCC